This is a non-coding RNA of Cercophora newfieldiana, 100 nucleotides long. The record is from the annotation of a GenBank genome assembly. Lineage: Eukaryota; Fungi; Ascomycota; Sordariomycetes; Sordariales; Lasiosphaeriaceae.
GGGCAGGUAGCGUAGUGGUAAAGCGUUCUCUAAGCGUAUUCAGCGUUGUAUUUCCUCCAGCGUUUAGCGAAAGAUCCGGGUUCGAGUCCCGGCCUGCCCA